Molecule: ribosomal RNA, 480 nt
Filed under: Colwellia sp. LX2
Lineage: Bacteria; Pseudomonadati; Pseudomonadota; Gammaproteobacteria; Alteromonadales; Colwelliaceae
Description: bacterial SSU rRNA
Rfam family: Bacterial small subunit ribosomal RNA
Source: RNAcentral
UUGAACGCUGGCGGCAGGCUUAACACAUGCAAGUCGAGCGGAAACGAGAAUAGCUUGCUAUUCGGCGUCGAGCGGCGGACGGGUGAGUAAUGCUUGGGAAUAUGCCUUAUGGUGGGGGACAACAGUUGGAAACGACUGCUAAUACCGCAUAACGUCUACGGACCAAAGGGGGGGAUCUUCGGACCUCUCGCCAUUUGAUUAGCCCAAGUGAGAUUAGCUAGUUGGUAAGGUAAUGGCUUACCAAGGCGACGAUCUCUAGCUGGUUUGAGAGGAUGAUCAGCCACACUGGGACUGAGACACGGCCCAGACUCCUACGGGAGGCAGCAGUGGGGAAUAUUGCACAAUGGGCGAAAGCCUGAUGCAGCCAUGCCGCGUGUGUGAAGAAGGCCUUCGGGUUGUAAAGCACUUUCAGCGAAGAAGAAAGGUUAGUAAUUAAUAACUGCUAGCUGUGACGUUACUCCCAGAAAAAGCACCGGCUAA